Molecule: long non-coding RNA, 4725 nt
Filed under: Homo sapiens (human)
Lineage: Eukaryota; Metazoa; Chordata; Mammalia; Primates; Hominidae
Description: non-protein coding FGD5-AS1:1
Source: RNAcentral
AUUCAUAUGAAGGCUGUAUUUUCCUCGACUUUCUUAUUACAUUGAAGAUUUGUUCCUCACUACCGUUGCUAUAUUUCACAGCCUUUGGCUUGGAAACAAAGUGGGAUAAUGGACAAUUACUAGUUCCAACCAACUCUCCAGCCACAAGCAGCCAGUUCUCGAUCACAUCAAAUGCUCUUCCUCCAGGGCCGUUACACGGGAUGUCCUGUCUGGAAUGCCAUUCCUCCCUUGGGUUCCUCUGUUCAAACAUCACUUACUCAGAGAGGCCACCCUGACCAUUCCAUCUAAAUUAACGCCUCAGGUCUUCUUCAGCAGGUCAUUUGGCUUCUUUUCUUUCACAGAACUUAUGACUCUCUGGAAUUAUUUGUCUAUUCACCCCCCAGCCCCCAACUCUAGUGAGGGCAGGGGUCUUGUACAGCUGGUUCUCCAGAUGUGUCCCCAGUGCCUAAAAAACUAAGUCAACAUGUAUUCAGCGAACGAAUGAGAAGAGAAUCACUCCCGAAUUGUGCUCUCUCAAACCCCAAAUACCCUUAACGCUUGCCUCUCCUGGUGGCUGUAAUCCCAUUUUUAACAAUAACACCAUUUUCAAGUGACUCUGAAGCUCGCAAAGUAGCGUUGCCUCCAUUUUCUGAGUAGAGCCCCACAAACAAUGCUCAGAAGGGAGGUCCGGCCUGGCAAGAAUGCGCAUGCCCCCCAUUUACAGUCGAUAAAAUUGAGCCUCAUUAGGGGAUUCGCCAAGGCCGCUGCGAAAUAACGAGCAGGAGCCCUGAAAAGUGUCCUGGUUCCGAAAACCUCUUCCCACGAGAGCGCAUCGUGGACUCGAAAUGCUUCAUCACCUUUAUUACUAUUGUUCCUCAGUACUCAUUCGAGACGCGUUCCAGGCGGAGGGAAGCAGCCCACCUGCUGACCCAAGACCAGGCGCCGGCCUCUCCACCCGGCCGCGCCCCUCGCGCCCCGCCCCCGGCCCCGCCCCCGCCGACCCGGCCCCACUCUUCGCCCCGGCCUCUACUCCCGCCCCGCCAGGGCUCCCGCGCCCCAUAAGGACCACCCUCUUCCGCCUCAGCCAAUCAGCAAAGCUUAGGGGGGCGGUGCCACAGGCCCCGGCCCUCCUAUCUGGGCGCCAAUUAGCCAGCCCAUCCGUCGCUCACGAGGUCGCGCCUCGCACCCGCCUUCCUCCUUUUCUUUUACCCUCCCCUUCAGAAAAAACGGCGGUUGGGCUGCGACGGCCGCCAAAGGCGGACUAGAAGCGGAGGGGUGAAAAUCCCGGCAGAGAAGGAAGAAGGGACUGCAGGCGGGAGGAGGAGGAGGAUAAGGAGGAAGGGAGCCCGCCCAGCCGGAGCCAUCUCCGUCGAGAACAAAAUGGCGGCGCUGGCGGAGGGCCAACUAUAAGGCGGGGCCGCGGCCAUUCCCCCUCCACCCCCACCCUUGCGCCGGCCGGGCCGGUCAGGGGGAACCCGCUCGCUUCGCCCGGCCGCGGGCGGGGAGGGGAGGGGAGCGGCCCGGCCCACUAUGCAAAGCGCCGGGCGCCGCCGCCGCCACCCCGUGGCAAAGAAUAUGCUUUUUGUCUAAUGAUGUUAGAUAAAAAGCAAAUUUGGAGCAGUUUUCUUAUUCGAGUUCAAAAUGGUUCAUAAAGCAGCGAAGACAACUCAAAACAUCAGUAACACAUUUGGCCCAGGAACUGCUAACAAACAUACAGUGCAGUGGUGGCUUAAGAAGUUUUGCAAGGAAGAGAGCCUUGAAGAUGAGGAACGUGAUAUGGGCCAUGGGAAGUUGACAACGACCAAUUGAGAGCAAUCAUUGAACUACAUGAAAAAUUACAGAAGAACUCAGCGUUGACUAUUCUACGGUCAUUAGGGUCGUUCAGCAUUCGAAGCAAAUUGGAAAGGUGAAAAAGCUUGAUAAGUGGGUGCCUCAUGAGCUGAGCGGAAAUCAAAACUAUCGUUUUGAAGUGUAGUCUUCUUUUAUGCUACGCAACAACAAACCAUUUCUCAAUCGGAUUGUGACAUGUAAUGAAAAGUGAAUUUUAUACAACAACCAGCUCAGUGGUUGGACCAAGAGGCAGCUCCAAAGCAGUUCCCAAAGCCAAACUUGCACCAAAAAAAAGGUCAUGGUCACUGUUCGGUGGUCUGCUGCCCAUCUGAUCCACUACAGUUUUCUGAAUCCUGGUGAAACCAUUACAUCUGAGAAGUAUGCUCAGCAAAUUGGUAAGAUGCACCGAAAACUGCAAUACCUGCUGCCUGCAUUGGUCAACAGAAAGGGCCCAAUUCUUCUCCACGACAACACCUGACUGCGUGUCGCACAACCAGUGCUUCAAAAGUUGAAGGAAUUGGGCUACAAAGUUUUGCCUCAUCCACCAUAUUCACCUGACCUUUCGCCAACUGACUACCACUUCUGCUAGCAUCUUGACAACUUUUUGCAGGGAAAACACUUCAGCAUGGUGCAGAAAAUGCUUUCCAAGAGUUCGUCAAAUCCUGAAGCACGGAUUUUUAUGCUACAGGAAUAAACAAACAUUUCUCAUUGGCAAAAAUGUGUUGAUUGUAAUGGUUCCUGUUUUGAUUAAUAGAAUAUGUUUUAGCGUAGUUACAAUGAUUUAAAAUUCGCAGUCUGGAAAUUUAAUUUUUGCAUCAACCUAAUAUUUCUAUGGUAAAUCCUUGCAAACAUGGAAACAAUGCAUUUGGCCCAGUGCUUUGUGGUUGUGUACUCUUUUUCUUUGUUUUUUUAAUAGAUGGCAUUGGCCGGGCAUGGUGGCUCAUGCCUGUAAUCCCAGCAUUUUGGGAAGGUGAGGUGGGUGGAUCACCUGAGGUCAGGAGUUCAAGACCAGCCUGACUAACAUGGUAAAACCCCAUCUCUACUAAAAAUACAAAAAAAUUAGCUAGGCGGGGUGGCGGGCAUCUAAUUCCAGCUACUUCAUGAGGCUGCGACAGGAGAAUCAUUUGAACUCGGGAGGCAGAGGUUGCAGUGAGCCGAGAUCACACCAUUGCACUCCAGCCUGGGCGAUGAGCGAAACUGUCUCAAAAAAAAAAAAAGUUGGGGUCUCGCUGUGUUGACCAGGCUGGUCUCGAACUCCUGGCCUCAAGUGAUCCUCCCAUCUUGGCCUCCCAAAGUGUUAGGAUUACAGGCGUGAGCCACCACACCCUGCCUGGUUGUGUACUCUUUUAAAUACUAAGUUUUUAAUGUUAAAUGCUGCUUUUAGAUACACUGUAAAAAUACACCUAUCAAUGAGUUUUUUUAUUAAAAACAUUGCAAUUGUACUAGACUUUAAAUACUAAGCAAUAAUUCAGGCUUCAAUGUUGGUUUAUAGUUUUCUCAUUUCUUUCAUUUAAUACCUCUGUAAAAUGAAGCAGUUACUUCCAUUUUCCUGAGGUGAGAUAAGUGCCCUGCACAAUGUUAUAGGCCCAGUAAGUGAGACUGGAGCUCUGAUCUAAUCCCUUUGACAUUAAAGUUUGUGCAGUAAACCAGCUAUGUCAGUUUGCCACAUUUGUAAUAGUGUUCAAUAAAUUUUCACUUAAAGGUUUAAUAUUAAAGUAGUAGCAAGAAUUCAUAACCUUAAUUGGCUUUAACAGCUUUUCUUUCCCUGAAAACAGAUGCAUAUGUACACAUGCACACAGAUUGCUUACAAUAUCAGCACGUAAAAGGCCUUUGCACAUUGAAGUCGGCACUGCUUUGGUGCCUUUUUUGUUUUUUGGCUCGGUGUUUUGACUGCAAGUCUUUUUGGAUAGAAUUUUAUAGUUAGAAAGUAGCUAACACUUGGGUUUUAUAGGCACAAAAAACAAGUCUUAUACUAGCUGUACUUUAUUUUUUGAGUUCUUAUUAAUGAGGAACAUCCACUUUUGCAUUGACAGUGAUUUCAAGAUUGCUUUAUCAGCCUUUAAAGGAUUCUUGACUAGUCGUGCACAUCAGAACUGCCAGGUCCCCAGUGGUUCUGAAGCAGUAAGCUUUGGGUGGGCUCUGGCAUCAGCACUUUCACUAAGCUUCACAGAUAAUUCUGAUGCAUACUCCAGGCCUGAACCACUGAUCAAUUUGAAACAUGCAUAACAAAGCAAAAAAAGUUUUGUUUCACCUUUUGAAAUACAGUUAACUCUUUUACCAUGCCAGAGAUCAUUCAGAGAGACAGGUCGUUGCUCCGGAGUGAUACAGAUCUGGCAGUACCCAGCCCUUGUGUGUGUGCGUUAGCUCAGCACCUGCCCACACUGCGAGCCCCCGUAGGAUGUGCCUUGUCCUUCCCUGUUUCAGCACUUAACACACUACCUGGUACAGAGUAUGUAGUGGGCAUCUGUUGAAUGAAUGCUUUUCCCAGUAGCAGUGUAUUCAUACAAUAUUAAUAUAAUUGUCCCCUGGCUUACAGAUAAAAAUGAAAGCAUCAAGUGCCCAGUGAGUGAGACCCAGGUGUUCUUCCUCCACCCCUAGUGGUCCCCUGGGCAGGUCUUUUUUUUUUUGUAACACUCACCAGUCUGUUCUGUAGUCAAUCAUUGAUUGACUUGUCUGUGAACUUGGAGGAACUGUUUCAUAGUUUCAUUAGCACAGAGUAAACAUGUUUGCCAUGCAAGGUUAUUUUGCAUCUGCAUUUAAGUGAUAAUGUUGAAUCAAUGAAAAGUGUUGAUUAAGCAGUAGUUGUAGAUAUGCUAAGUUUUUCAAAUUACUAAUAUCAAGUGGAGAUUGUUUUUACUUUUAAGGGUAUUGCUUUUGUGAUAGCAUAAAUAAUGGUUUUCCUUUUUUGUAAUGUAA